CCAUGAUUAGAAUGAUAAAUAGGGAAAUUGGUCAGUGAAGCAUUAGGAUAAGUUGAUAACCAGAAAGUAUUAGUUGUUACUUUAUCAGCGGCGUAACUGUGUAGUAGGCUCUCUGGGCUAUAGCUCAACCCAAAUUUGGGCCAAAAAACCCUUAAGUAUGGAUAUAUCGUAUCUCUAAGUCCAGAGUAGCCCACAGAAAAAGAAAAAAAAUAAUAAAAAUAAAAAAAGAGAUAAACUCUUAUCUACGCGACUUCACUCCUCACUCCUCAGUCUCUCAGCCAUGAAGUCUCAUGAGUCUCAUCUGAAAUUUCAUGAACCUGAUCCUCAAUUCCUCACCCAGGUUUCAAAUUUCAACCCAAUAUGAGUAUUAGAUUCUGACUCAAACUCUCCAAGUCUCCAUACUCCAAUCUGAGUGCACGGAUAAACUCUUCGAACAGGAGAGCGGAAGCCGGAACUCUUGAAGAUGAGCGGUGACAGUAUCUGUAUCGCCGUAUUCCUGUAUCGGUCUUUGAAAUUGCUCCAUUGCUUGUUGCUGCUUGUAUCGCUCGUUUGCAUCAGUGAUUCGAUGUAUUGGUCUUUGUUUGAUAGUUAGGCUAGUGCAGCGCUACUCUUGAAGUCUUUA
Long non-coding RNA from Rosa rugosa (rugosa rose), 622 nucleotides. RefSeq lists it as uncharacterized. NCBI's taxonomy places the organism in Eukaryota, Viridiplantae, Streptophyta, Magnoliopsida, Rosales, Rosaceae. The transcript is spliced from 2 exons. The record is from RefSeq and is a predicted model, not a curated record.